GGCUUAUCUGAGAGGGUUUUUUACGUCACCUGCUGUUUCUAAUUGUUGUGUUUCUGAUCUCCCGGAGUUGUCUCUGUAAUGCUGAUUUUGGUGUAUUUGAUGGGAAGUUUUCGAGUUGCUGGGUUCUUGAAGGUCUACUUCCGCGAAUCACACCUCCAAAGUCCCUACCCACCUUUGAAUUGACUGACUAAUAUGGAGCUCUACAUAUCGCUCUCUCCUAGAAGUCUCCGGAGCUCCCAUGGUUUGGUGGUUGUUAGUGGUUGGCUCCUCACUUGCUUUUGGCCUUUGUUUAUUGAAGAAACAUCGUGGGUCGCUAUUAUUGACUCUUUGGUUCAUCCCUG
Molecule: unclassified non-coding RNA, 341 nt
Filed under: Hevea brasiliensis (rubber tree)
Lineage: Eukaryota; Viridiplantae; Streptophyta; Magnoliopsida; Malpighiales; Euphorbiaceae
Source: RNAcentral